UACGUAGGUGGCAAGCGUUGUCCGGAGUUAUUGGGCGUAAAGCGCGCGCAGGCGGUGCGGUAAGUCUCUGGUGAAAGCGCUCGGCUUAACUGGGCGAGGGCCGGGGAGACUGCCACGCUGGAGGGGAGCAGAGGCGAGUGGAAUUCCGGGUGUAGUGGUGAAAUGCGUGGAGAUCCGGAGGAACACCAGUGGCGAAGGCGGCUCGCUGGGCUCUACCUGACGCUGAGGCGCGAAAGCGUGGGGAGCGAACCGG
This 253-nucleotide ribosomal RNA is filed under the name uncultured bacterium. Its description in RNAcentral is "partial 16S ribosomal RNA". It matches the Rfam family "Bacterial small subunit ribosomal RNA", at positions 524 to 776 of the family's 1533-position model. The record is from RNAcentral.